This 440-nucleotide ribosomal RNA is filed under the name uncultured bacterium. RNAcentral's name for it is "partial 16S ribosomal RNA". It matches the Rfam family "Bacterial small subunit ribosomal RNA", at positions 338 to 795 of the family's 1533-position model. The record is from RNAcentral.
CCUACGGGUGGCAGCAGUGGGGGAUAUUGCACAAUGGGGGAAACCCUGAUGCAGCGACGCCGCGUGAGUGAAGACUGAUCUCCGUAUUGAAAGCUUCAUUUGUAGGGAAGUAAAGUACGGCACGUGUGCCAUUAUCCCCGUCUAACUACGUUCCAGCAGGCCCGAUAAUACGCAGGAGGCAAGCGUUAUCCGGAGUUACUGGGUGUUAAGGGAGCGUAGAGGGUUAUGUAAGUGAGGAGUGAAAGCCUGGGGCCCAACCGCAGGACUGCAUUGGAAACUGUCUAACUGGAGUACAGGAGGGGCAGGCGGAAUUCGUGGUGUAGCGGUGAAAUGCGUAGAUAUCAGGAGGAACACCGACGGCGAAGGCAGCCUGCUAGACUGACACUGACAUUGAGGCUCGAAAGCGUGGGGAGCAAACAGGAUUAGAUACCCGAGUAGUC